RNA transcript from Triticum aestivum (bread wheat), 2618 nucleotides. RefSeq lists it as uncharacterized. NCBI's taxonomy places the organism in Eukaryota, Viridiplantae, Streptophyta, Magnoliopsida, Poales, Poaceae. The record is from RefSeq and is a predicted model, not a curated record. The transcript is spliced from 6 exons.
CGGGGGGCGGCCAACCUGCUGACGACGGGCAAAGCGGCCAUGGUGGGGAGGCGGAGGGCAGCCAUGGUGGGGAGGCCGGCUGUGCGGCGGUCUCAGCCUUGCGUGGUAAAGGCGCAGCACCGGAGCAAGGCCAAGUAUCACCGAGGGAUGCGGCUACAUCGGCUUGUCUAGAUGGGAUGGAUCGAAAUUCAACUUAUGUGCUGAAAAUCAAUUUGCUUGGCAACCCAAAAAAGGCUAGAAAGGAUAUCAAAUGCUUCUGUUUUGAUAAGGUUAUUGAUUCCGACUUAACAAAUUAUAAGGACUUGGUUGAAUCAAUCGUAGAGCAGUACUCGCCUCGUUAUUUGGAAGUUGCACAUGUUCAGUACUAUGAUGUUCUUAAAAUCUACCCUGAAGUAACAUCUGACCAAGAAUUGGUGUCGAUGUUUGAGAAACACUCUAAGACAAAGGUUGUGCACAUGUUUGUUGCAUAUUGUGAUCCAUCGGAACCAUAUGAGCCUAUAACGGAGUGGCAUAGUGAUGCGCAUGGCCAACCUAACAACACAGAACAAGAUGGUGAUGAUUAUCUUCGCAACCCAGUACCUGAGAAUGAGCAUGUUGGUGUUGAUGAGGAAAAUAUUUAUUUAGAGGAUGAACCUGUACCUUUUAUCAUGGUUCCUUGUUCCAAUAAAGAAAAGGACAAAGACUAUGUUCCUGAUCAUGAGAGCGAGGCUGAGAGCGAGGUUGAGAGUGAGGAUGAGAGCGAGGAUGAGAGCAUGUCAGAGGUUGAAGUAGAGGAAGAUGAGGAAUAUCACAAGGCAGAUCAUGCACCACACAUUGAAUAUAAUAAAUUAGAUCCUCCAAUGAACGAAGGAAGAAAAUAUCCCAAUAUGGCAGAGUUUAAAUUGGCGCUUUCUCAGCAUGCAAUCAAACAUGAAUUUGACUUUUGACACCGAAAAGAGUGCACCACAUAGGUUCAGAGCUUAUUGUUCAAGAAGGGAUGAAGAUAAGUGUCCAUGGAGGAUAUAUCCUUCUACAAUGGAAGAUGAGUGCACAGUAAUGGUGAGAAAGAACCCUUGUGGUCAUGAUUGCUCUAGUACAAAAAGAAAAAAGAAGUUGAAGAAUGCAAACAAGCGGUGGAUAUGUGAGCACGUGAAGGACUGGCUAAUUGAGGAUGCAACUCUAGGAACAAAGGCAUUGCGAAAGAAGCUUAAAGAGCAUCAUGGAAUCGACAUCAACUCUAAAAGAGUCUAUAUGGGUAAGCUGCUAGCCUUGAAGGAACCGAAGGAGGAAAGUAGCAAGGAAGUUGGUUGGGUUGAUUCUUCCCCACAUAAUUUAGAAGUUGAAUGCAAAGACUAGAGAAUUAAACUUGGAGGUGGUAGAAAGCUCAGAAGAAGUCGCUGAAGUGACAACAUUGGGAGGCAGCGGCUUUAGGUUUGUGGUCAACUUGCUUGACAGGACAUGUUCUUGUAGACAAUGGCAAGUUUCUGGCCUUCCUUGCAAGCAUGGUCUAGCAUUUAUCACAUCUCUUAUCAAUGCACACAUACAAAAUUAUGUGGACUUGUAUUACUCCAUUGACAAAUUUAGGGCAGCCUAUGACCAACUAAUUCCUGCCAUGGUUGACAAGAACCAAUGGCCUAAAUCUGACCAUGGAUUCUUCAUGUUUCCACCACUACUAAAAUCCACGACGGGUAGGCAUAAAACUGAGAGGUAUAAAGGCUGCAGUGAGAAGAAAAGAAAAAGCGGCCAACACUUAUGCCCUAUUUGUAAGUAUUAUGGGCAUCAUUGGCAUAAAUGCAAGAAGGGUAACCCAGAUGACAUUGCUGCUAUUUUAGCUGUGAGAGGACCACCAAAGAAGAGCGCAAAGACCACCAAAGCAUCAAUUGUGCCUUGCGAGGAUGAUGCUCCAGCAGCCUCUAUGUGCUUUCCGCCAAGCCAAAGCUUGCAACCUACAACUACGAAAAAGAGAAAACAUGAUAACUCAAUUACUGGAGCAUCAAAAAGCCAAAUGUUGGAGAAAACAAUUAAGGAAAAAGGGAAAGGGAGUAAAUCUGGAUCCAGAGUAGCAAAAAGGUAACCUAUGGUUGUUUCCGAAUUUUAUGUUAUGUUAGGCAUUGUUCUAUUGUUAACCUGGGCUACUAUAUGUGAUGUAUGAUGUGCUGCCAUGAAUGUGUAUGUGUUGAUCAAGAACUCAACCCAUUUGUGUGGCCAACAAGAAAGCAUUUGUUGCUUUGAAAUUACAUGCCAAAAGAAAAGGCAAAGAGGUUGCUGAUAAGUUGCCACACCUUCCUAUGGUGCCACAUAAUAGCCCUGCAAUGGGCACACGUAGCAAAAAAAUGAAUCCUGCCAGCCCUGCAAUGAGCUCACGAAGCAAAAGGAGGCUUAGCUUGUGAUUCUCAUUGGAUCCCUUUCCAUAUCAUGGUUCAUUUGGGAAACUUUUGAGCUGUUUAUGUAAUAUAUAUGUGAACCUGGGCUUUUGUACGUGCUAUAUGUGACCUUCAUGUGUUGUAUUUGACAUGAUGUGAACCUGCACUAUUAUGUGUGAACUCUAUGUGAACCUGAAUGUGUGUAGAGGACAAAAUAUGUGGACUGUUUCCGUAUAUGUGAACCUGGACCAAGUUUCUAUGAACUUUUAGUUUGCA